RNAcentral lists this ribosomal RNA (286 nucleotides) under uncultured bacterium. RNAcentral's name for it is "partial 16S ribosomal RNA". It matches the Rfam family "Bacterial small subunit ribosomal RNA", at positions 1092 to 1378 of the family's 1533-position model. The record is from RNAcentral.
ACGAGCGCAACCCUUGUCCUUAGUUACCAGCACCUCGGGUGGGCACUCUAAGGAGACUGCCGGUGACAAACCGGAGGAAGGUGGGGAUGACGUCAAGUCAUCAUGGCCCUUACGGCCAGGGCUACACACGUGCUACAAUGGUCGGUACAAAGGGUUGCCAAGCCGCGAGGUGGAGCUAAUCCCAUAAAACCGAUCGUAGUCCGGAUCGCAGUCUGCAACUCGACUGCGUGAAGUCGGAAUCGCUAGUAAUCGUGAAUCAGAAUGUCACGGUGAAUACGUUCCCGGG